Molecule: ribosomal RNA, 429 nt
Filed under: bacterium
Lineage: Bacteria
Description: partial 16S ribosomal RNA
Rfam family: Bacterial small subunit ribosomal RNA
Source: RNAcentral
UAGGGUAUCUUCGGCAAUGGGGGCAACCCUGACCGAGCAACGCCGCGUGAGUGAAGAAGGUUUUCGGAUCGUAAAGCUCUGUUGUAAGAGAAGAACGUGUGUGAGAGUGGAAAGUUCACACAGUGACGGUAACUUACCAGAAAGGGACGGCUAACUACGUGCCAGCAGCCGCGGUAAUACGUAGGUCCCGAGCGUUGUCCGGAUUUAUUGGGCGUAAAGCGAGCGCAGGCGGUUUAAUAAGUCUGAAGUUAAAGGCAGUGGCUUAACCAUUGUUCGCUUUGGAAACUGUUAAACUUGAGUGCAGAAGGGGAGAAUGGAAUUCCAUGUGUAGCGGUGAAAUACGUAGAUAUAUGGAGGAGCACCGGUGGCGAAAGCGGCUCUCUGGUCUGUAACUGACGCUGAGGCUCGAAAGCGUGGGGAGCAAACAGG